This 87-nucleotide transfer RNA is filed under the name Alphaproteobacteria bacterium. Its description in RNAcentral is "tRNA-Leu". It matches the Rfam family "tRNA". From Rfam's summary of the family: Transfer RNA (tRNA) molecules are approximately 80 nucleotides in length. Their secondary structure includes four short double-helical elements and three loops (D, anti-codon, and T loops). Further hydrogen bonds mediate the characteristic L-shaped molecular structure. tRNAs have two regions of fundamental functional importance: the anti-codon, which is responsible for specific mRNA codon recognition, and the 3' end, to which the tRNAs corresponding amino acid is attached (by aminoacyl-tRNA synthetases). tRNAs cope with the degeneracy of the genetic code in two manners: having more than one tRNA (with a specific anti-codon) for a particular amino acid; and 'wobble' base-pairing, i.e. permitting non-standard base-pairing at the 3rd anti-codon position. Lineage: Bacteria; Pseudomonadati; Pseudomonadota; Alphaproteobacteria. The record is from RNAcentral.
GCCCUCGUGGCGGAACUGGUAGACGCGCCAGACUCAAAAUCUGGUUCCCGCAAGGGAGUGUCCGUUCGACUCGGACCGGGGGCACCA